This is a long non-coding RNA of Erigeron canadensis, 863 nucleotides long. RefSeq lists it as uncharacterized. Lineage: Eukaryota; Viridiplantae; Streptophyta; Magnoliopsida; Asterales; Asteraceae. The record is from RefSeq and is a predicted model, not a curated record. The transcript has 3 exons.
CAUCGCUACCCUUAACCGGUCUGCUUCAUCGCCUGCCGCCGUACAACACCACCCUUCGCCGGGACGUUGUUCUCAUCUCUGUUCAGGUUACCAGAGAUUAUGGCUUUCUCUCUUGUUCUAAAGAAGCUUAUUGCAUCUAAUUUACUGCAAGACCCGUCGUUACAUCCCCUCGAACUGUGGCUCAUAAUCUGCUCAUGAGAUCAGGUGUUCAGAGCAUUCAUACCUCUUCUUACACUCGGGUCUGUACUUCCAAACUUCUCACAUGCAGAUCCCUUGUUCCGUUCCUGUCACCAACGUCAGCAGCAGUUUCUAGUUCGGUGAUUUCACGUUUUAUCCUUAGAAGGGAUUUACAAGUUGAUGUCUCUCAUGAAAAUUCUGUGAUGGGACGCAUCUGCCGUUUGCUGGAUCCUCGUGGCUGGUGGUCUAUGGUGUUCAAGUAUGAGGACAAUUUAGUUAAGGUUAACAAAGAAAAGGUGUUAUUUUCAUUUCAACAUCUAAAACUGAUGAAGGCCUCGCUUUAAAGAUACAAAUGCAUGGAGUUCAAAGUCGUAACUUGAAGGUGUCCGUUGAAGACCAUACUUUGUUUUGCAGUUUCAUCAAGGCGUAUGAGAACAUCACCAUUACCUUCACAAUGAACCUACCAAAUAAGAAGACAUAUCAACCUAGUGACGUGAAAGCGAAGAUGAAGAAUGGCGUAUUACUGGUAACUUUUACUAACUUGACUAUAGAUGAUGUAGAUUAGAUUUACCAACACUCAGUCUGGUAAAUAUUUUGUUAAUUGUUAUGAAAUAGAAGCAAGCAAUUUUGUAAAUGAAAUGAUCUGAGAUUCAUUAUGUUCAGUGGCUGUAAAACGAAGUCGUAAA